This 102-nucleotide non-coding RNA is filed under the name Sulfurihydrogenibium sp. Its description in RNAcentral is "TPP sequence". It matches the Rfam family "TPP riboswitch aptamer (THI element)". Rfam says of the family: Vitamin B(1) in its active form thiamin pyrophosphate (TPP) is an essential coenzyme that is synthesised by coupling of pyrimidine and thiazole moieties in bacteria. The previously detected thiamin-regulatory element, thi box was extended, resulting in a new, highly conserved RNA secondary structure, the THI element, which is widely distributed in eubacteria and also occurs in some archaea. Analysis of operon structures identified a large number of new candidate thiamin-regulated genes, mostly transporters, in various prokaryotic organisms. Lineage: Bacteria; Pseudomonadati; Aquificota; Aquificia; Aquificales; Hydrogenothermaceae. The record is from RNAcentral.
AAUAAGCCGCGGGGGUGGUUGUCUUAAAAAGACAGCCUGAGAAUAUACCCUUAGAACCUGAUGCAGGUAAUGCUGCCGUAGGGAAGCGGGCUUGAGAAAACC